Molecule: non-coding RNA, 1431 nt
Organism: Equus caballus (horse)
Lineage: Eukaryota; Metazoa; Chordata; Mammalia; Perissodactyla; Equidae
Source: the annotation of a RefSeq genome assembly
CCCAGAAGACGAAAUUGCCAGGACACAGUUUUUUAAUUGUCAGUUACAUCAUGAAACUUAGGAAGAGGUUGAGUUUUUGUAGAAGCUGUAACCAGUGUGAUAGCUCAGGUUGGAUCAAGAACUUUGGAGAAGGGACUAAGCUCAUCAUGAUUCCCUCUGGUGUACGUCUUCCUUCAGACAUUUCCCCGAAACCAAUUAUUUUUCUUCCUUCAGUUGCUGAAAUAAACCUCCAUAAGGCUGGGACAUAUCUUUGUCUUCUUGAUAAAUUCUUCCCUGAUGUUAUCAAGGUAUAUUGGAAAGAAAAGAAUGGCAAUACAAUUCUGGAAUCCCAGGAGGGACAUACCAUGAAGACUGAUAACACAUACAUGAAACUCAGCUGGCUGACCGUGACUGAAAAGUCAAUGGAUAAAGAACACAAAUGUAUCGUCAAACAUGAGAACAAUAAAGGAGGGGUUGACCAGGAGAUUCUUUUUCCUUCAGUGAUUCAAGUUCUCGUCUCAAUUGUCACUGCUGUUGAUUCUGCCAAGGCUUUUCCGAAAGAUAAAAGAAUUGUCACUGCUUCUGAUUCUACAAAAGCUUCCCCAACAGAGGAAAGUGCUGUCAGUGCUGCUGACUCUACAACAGCUUCCCGAACAGAGGAAAGUGCUGUCAGUGCUGCUGACUCUACAACAGCUUCCCGAACAGAGGAAAGUGUUGUCAGUGCUGCUGACUCUACAACAGCUUCCCGAACAGAGGAAAGUGUUGUCACUACUACUGAUUCUAUAGCAGCUUCUCUGACAGAGGAAAGCGAGGCCACAGAUAUUAAUUCUACCAAAGCUUGUCUGAAAGAUGAAAGCACCCCCCUGCAGCUGCAGCUCACCAGCACCUCUGCCUAUCACACCUACAUCCUUCUCCUCCUCGCGAGUGCCGUCUACUUUGCCAUCAUCAACUUCCGUCUGUUUAGGAGAACAGCAGCCUGUGGCAAUGGAAAGAGUUCGUAACAGAUUUUGGCACAAAGAAGUCAACUUUACUCCAUUGUUUAGUCUCCAAAAAGUGUCAUGUUACUAUAGCUGGGCUUUCUCUGGGUGUGGGUUAUUUCAGUUCACAUGUGUAUUUUUCUGUUAUGUCAGUAUAAAAAAUGUUUUUUUAAGCCAGUGAGCAAACAGAAAAUUUUACUCUGUAACAACAGUGAGUUCUUCCAUUACUCGGGGCAGGGCUCUGAGGUCGUCCCUUAGCACUCUCUCUCCCUGAUCUCUGUCAGCUCCUCCAGGACCCAAAGAAGCAUGCCUUCUGAGUACAGACAGCAUGCAGCUAUAGUCAUGUCCCUUAGGGCCAUUUAACCAGAACUGCCUUGAAGCCUUCCAUUUUUCACACCCUGAAGCAAUUUCAUUUUUACUGGAAUUCUGUAUGUUGUUUUUCAUAAUAGGCACAAUAAAAAAAAUCCAAAGUCUA